CUAAAAGGGUGUCAUGGGAGACAGGGGCCCCGGAGCUCUUAUUGUGACAACUAUGAAACUGAAAACAGUGGGGAACGGCAAUCAAAUGUAAGGAUCUCCUAACUGGCACUUUAAGAUUCAAAAUCAUGAAAUCCUUAGUCUUCUGGCUGCUGAACCUUGAAUUUGUUUGUAGUUCAACACGUCUGUGAUUAUCUCGGAAUGGGAAAGACAAAGAAGACGUGAACCCACUGACUGCUAAGGAUAUGCUUUUGUCAAAAAAGCUGCUGAGAAAGAAAAAGAAAAAGGAAAAGAAAAUUGUUCUGAGACCUCGAGUUCCCUACAGCGUGAGCCAGCAUCACAUACUCAGCGGUGAGAGCGUCCUGGGCUUGAAUGAAUGAAUGCGCUGCUUCCCACGCGGCCCUACGUGACCAACCACUUUCCUAUGCUCCCGAACACCACCUUCUUCCCUUCUGAAGCCAUCACUGGACUCCUCGCCUUUCACUGUGGCAUGUUUUACCUUUAAAGCAUUGCAUUAGCAAACAGUUUAUUUUUUCGUCAGCUGUAAUCAGUUUUUGAAUUCUGUUGUGUUUUAUUU
This is a long non-coding RNA of Artibeus jamaicensis (Jamaican fruit-eating bat), 574 nucleotides long. RefSeq lists it as uncharacterized. NCBI's taxonomy places the organism in Eukaryota, Metazoa, Chordata, Mammalia, Chiroptera, Phyllostomidae. The transcript has 3 exons. The record is from RefSeq and is a predicted model, not a curated record.